UGGGGAAUAUUGCACAAUGGGCGAAAGCCUGAUGCAGCGACGCCGAGUGAGGGAUGACGGCCUUCGGGUUGUAAACCUCUUUCAGCAGGGACGAAGCGCAAGUGACGGUACCUGCAGAAGAAGCACCGGCUAACUACGUGCCAGCAGCCGCGGUAAUACGUAGGGUGCAAGCGUUGUCCGGAAUUACUGGGCGUAAAGAGUUCGUAGGCGGUUUGUCGCGUCGUUUGUGAAAACCAGCAGCUCAACUGCUGGCUUGCAGGCGAUACGGGCAGACUUGAGUACUGCAGGGGAGACUGGAAUUGCUGGUGUAGCGGUGAAAUGCGCAGAUAUCAGGAGGAACACCGGUGGCGAAGGCGGGUCUCUGGGCAGUAACUGACGCUGAGGAACGAAAGCGUGGGUAGCGAACAGG
Molecule: ribosomal RNA, 409 nt
Filed under: bacterium
Lineage: Bacteria
Description: partial 16S ribosomal RNA
Rfam family: Bacterial small subunit ribosomal RNA
Source: RNAcentral